GACGAACGCUGGCGGCGUGCUUAACACAUGCAAGUCGAACGGAAAGGCCCGGCUUUUGUGGGGUGCUCGAGUGGCGAACGGGUGAGUAACACGUGAGUAACCUGCCCUUGACUUUGGGAGAACUUCAGGAAACUGGGGCGAAUACCGGAUAGGAGCUCCUGCUGCAUGGUGGGGGUUGGAAAGUUUCGGCGGUUGGGGAUGGACUCGCUGCUUAUCAGCUUGGUGGUGGGGUAGGGGCUUACCAAGGCUUUGACGGGUAGCCGGCCUGGGAGCGUGACCAGCCUCAUUGGGACUAAGAUACGGCCCAGUCUCCUACGGGAGGCAGCAGUGGGGAAUCUUGCACAGUGGGCCGACGCCUGAUGUAGCAACGUCGCGUGCGGAAUGCCGGCCUUCGGGUUGUAAACCGCUUUCGCAUGUGCCGUAGCGUUAUUGACGGUACUGGGUCAAGAAGCACCGGCUAACUACGUG
RNAcentral lists this ribosomal RNA (468 nucleotides) under uncultured bacterium. RNAcentral's name for it is "partial 16S ribosomal RNA". It matches the Rfam family "Bacterial small subunit ribosomal RNA", at positions 28 to 507 of the family's 1533-position model. The record is from RNAcentral.